RNAcentral lists this long non-coding RNA (3894 nucleotides) under Sus scrofa (pig). Its description in RNAcentral is "lncRNA (ENSSSCG00015069787.1)". Lineage: Eukaryota; Metazoa; Chordata; Mammalia; Artiodactyla; Suidae. The record is from RNAcentral.
CUUUUUAUUAUACACAUUUUCCAGGCUUAAGCUAUUAUUCUUUUUUAACUAUGUUUUUUGGUUUGGGGGGGGUGAUUGUUUUUGGCAUAGGUGAUACAUGUGCGUGGUCCUACAUUCAAAAAGGACAAAAGCUUCUAUAGUGAAAACACCAUCUCUCCCUCAUCCCUCAGCCACCAUUUCCCUCCCCUGGGACAACUCUGAUUACCAAAUAAGCUCCCACCCCCAUGUACCAAAUAAUCUUUUAAAAACCAUACAUCAGAUCAUGUCACUCCCCUACUUAAAACUCUCCAGUGGCUUCCCAUCGCCCUGGCCAUGAAAUCCAGGCUCCUAACUAGUCCUACUGGGUCCCACAUGACCAGGCUCUGGGCCACCUGGCUUCUCUAGUCUCUCUCUCCAGCUCCACUGCUGAUGCAAACUCUGUUCUGGCUGCAAGGAUUUUUCUUUUGCUGUUCCUUCUGCCUUGAAUCUCCUUCCUUCAGAUCUUUGUGCAGUGGGUCCUUUGGCAUCAUUCAGGCUUCAGCUGAGCGAGCCUCUCCCAGGGCGGCUGUCACUGGCCUCCUCCUCUCUGUCACAUCCCUGUGUCCUAUUUCUUUCACAUCACAUAGGAUCUAAUAUUGUCUUGGUUACUUAUUUCCAGUUAUUUAUUGCCAGUCUCCUCCCUCUAGAAAGAAGGUUCCCUGAAGGCAAGCACAUGAUCUGUCUUGUUCAUUCAUGAAGGCCUGCUACCUCACACAGGGCCUGGCACAUAAUAGUAGCUCAACAAAUUUCUGUUAAAGAGAUGAAUGAAGGUGGCUGCAAUGCUGGUCUCAUCACUGACAGCCCACUCCCAGGAUCUCCAGACACCAAGAACCUACCUCCUGGCCAUCCUCUCCCAGGCCUGGGGCAGUGUGACUGGGUCAGAGAAAGGAGAGAGAGGAGCCCAUUGGCCAAGACAGGUGGGUGGACGGCGGCUGCCUGCUCUUCCUCACUGUCUCUUACAUGUGUUGUGCAUUUGUCCAGAAUCAGAUAAGCAGCUUGGACAAAACCAAAUUCCUAGUAAACGCUCUCAGUGGAAAACUGAAGGUAAAACUUUUGCCCCUUACUUACCCUACAUCCUCCCACAUCCACUCUGCCCAAGCAGCUGGGAUAUGCCAGGUUCCCAAGAGAGCCCCAGCAGCAGGAGACACAGAUGCCACCUAGGCAGCAGAGCUCCCCAAGGAACAUCCUCAGCCCAUCCCACCUGACUCUUCCCCGGGGCCCCAGACACCUGAGCUCCUCUCUCCAGAAAUUCAUCGGCCCCAGAGACACAAAUGCACAUCCAAUCCUGAGCCAGCAGCCCAGGCCAGGACACUCAGGGGACACGCUCAUGGAUAUGCUCCUUCCUGGAGCCUGAUUUCCACUGAGAGAACAUGGAAGUUGGGCCAAGAAUGAUUUUUAAGAAUGAAGAAAAGGGGAGAAUGAAGUGCCUUUCACCAAAACUGUGAAGGGAGGGAGGGAAGAAGGGAGAAAGGAGAAAGAAAAGAUGAAAGACUUCACAAGAUGGAACUAAACAAGCAGUAGGGAGGGUGGGAGGUGCUAAAUCAGGAAAGGGUGGGGAGAAGGUUGAGGUUUCAUCCUUUCCAGAAGUGGACAAUUAUUAAUUGAUUAAAUGAGAGCAACCUCAAAAUGCUUUUCUGGGUUCUCUGCAAGGUCAGUUAUGUAAUAAUGGCAAUAACAGAGCACAUUUCUCCAGCACUCACUACAUACCAGGUACCAUUUAUUUAUUCGAUCCAACCACCCUCCUGAAGUUCAUACCUUCCAAACCAGUAUACCUUAACUGAUCAUUAGUUGCCAGUUUCAAAGAUGUGGGCAUAACUGCCCAUUUUGCACACGGGAAAAAUCUAGAAAAGUCAAGGGACUUGUCCAAGCUCAUGCGGCCCAUAGGUGGGGAAUUAGGACCAAAGUAAGCUGAAUCUCAGCAUCUCCAGUGCCACUUCCCAAGGGAGCACAGUAGAAAGCAGGGUCUCUGGAAACUCCGCCCAGAGCAGCAGCAUCUUCUCCGGCUGUCUUUCGCCAGACCCCUUCACCAGCGUCAGCGCCAAGGCGCCCUGCCCGGAAAUUCCCACAGAGUCAAAUCAAACUUCCCAGGAAAACUCCUCGGCUUCCUCCUAGUCCCUGUCACGGAGGCGGCUGCCAAGAGCGCCGCUGGAGUCCUUGCAGCUGCCGUCGGCCCUUCAGGGCGGGAAGCCACCGCUCGUGCGCUGGGGGUCCUCCCGGAAAGGUCCAGGGCUAAAGUUCAAAAUUUACUUCCCGCCCAGGCACGGCUCUCAACUUCGCCCGGGAAUCGCCGGCUACCCCCUCGUCUCUUACCCUCCCCAGCUCCAGUUAAUGGAGCACCUCCAGCCUGGAAGACCAGGCGGGCAGAUGGGAGAAUCCCGCGGGCGAUCCCUGCGCGUCUGGGGACACGAAGCAGCCGGCGCGCGCACAUGUGUGUGUGUGCGCGCGCGAGAGGGGUGUGUGCGUGUGUGUGUGUGGUGUGUGUGGUGUGGUGUGGUGUGUGUGUGUGUGUGUUUACGUACAGAACGCGCGGGGUGGGAAAACAAUGGCGAGCCGCUGGGAACAGAGCAACUAGCCCCCUUUCCCACCUCCUUAUCUCCCUACCUCCCUAACCCCAGGCACGAUUUGCUUUUGCAGUGAAAUAGGAAUGAAAAGAUUCACCUCCGACGUCCAAAGGCGGGAGGUGGGGGGUGGUAAGAAGGAGGCUAGGAUGGGAGGAGGGAGGGGGGUGAAACUGGAGCAGCCCGAGCAGAAAACAAACAGGAUGCAGAGCCCAGCUAGUCCACUGGGGAACGAACCUGAAAGGGUGAGGAGGGUUGCAUGGCUGGCCCCCGGCACCCCACACAAUCAGGGUAGGGGUAGAUAUACGCCUCGGCGCGGGCACCGGAGCCCCACGCAGGGCGCGCACAGGUCGCCUCCGCUUCCCACCGGGAAAUCCUUGAACUGGGCGCACAGACGGGUUGGUGAGAAAGACCUAGGGCCCUCGGCUGGAGAACGAGGAGCGGGCGACUGGGGGGUGGGGGGGUGCGGUACCCCAAGCUCGGCUCUUGUGGUGCGCCCACAGACACAGACACACAGCCACCUCUCUUAUCAGGCUGCCACCUCUCUCCACAAGGACCUAGGUCUGCCUGCGAGGAGCCUCCACUGCCGGCGUGGGGGGUGGGGGGGUAGGUGGGGGUCCGUUCCCUUUUGAAAAACUUUGCAAAGGAUGGAAACUCGCAGAGAAGAGGGCCAGCGUGUGCCAGAAACGUGGGGUCACGAGUGUCAAAACUUCGGAAGGCUGUGGAGGGGGCGCGGCGGCGCGGAGGGGGUGCACUUACUACUCAGCCGGACUCUGGGAUCGCUGCUCGCGGCUCCGCGCUCCUGCUCCUCCUCCGUCCGGGUCCUCGCGGCUGGCAGCCUGGGCUUCCCGCUCACAUGCCCCGGCGACUCCGCGGACAGGCGCGCCGGGCUGGGAGGAGGCACGCCCCCCGCCGCCAGCCGGGGAGUCGCUUGGGACUCUUGGCCACCCCGGCUUCUCACCCCACCACUGGCCGCCGUCCCGGGCGGAGAGCUCGGAUCCGGCCGGGCGGCGCCCUCCGCCGAGCCAGGCCGCUCUCUGCACUCUGCCCUCUGCCCUCUGCUUGCGGCCGUCUCCCUGCCUUCCGCGGUCCUGCUCCCUGACUCGCCGGACGCUGCGCCGGCCCGCCGGGCUCUCCCGCUCCGCGCCUCGGCUCGGUCCCGAAUCAGGGCCUCAGAAGCUGACCGCUGCUCCCCAGGCUCAGAUCCGGGCUCGCCGCUCCUGGGCCGGGGCUCCAGGACCCGCACUCACACAGUUCAGUUCCAAGCCGGGACUGGGAGCAGGGCGCUCUCUGCUCGCUGCUGCGAGGCGACUCCACA